This 401-nucleotide ribosomal RNA is filed under the name uncultured bacterium. Its description in RNAcentral is "bacterial SSU rRNA". It matches the Rfam family "Bacterial small subunit ribosomal RNA", at positions 356 to 773 of the family's 1533-position model. The record is from RNAcentral.
AGGGAAUCUUCGGCAAUGGGCGAAAAGCCUGACCGAGCGACGCCGCGUGGGGGACGAAGGUCUUCGGAUCGUAAACCCCUGUCCUUGGGGACGAAGGUGACGGUACCCAAGGAGGAAGCCCCGGCUAACUACGUGCCAGCAGCCGCGGUAAUACGUAGGGGGCGAGCGUUGUCCGGAAUCACUGGGCGUAAAGGGUGCGUAGGCGGCUAUUUAAGUCCUGUGUGAAAGGCCCCGGCUCAACCGGGCAGUGCGAUGGGAAACUGGGUGGCUUGAGUGCUGGAGAGGGUUGCGGAAUUCCCGGCGUAGCGGUGAAAUGCGUAGAUUUCGGGAGGAACACCAGUGGCGAAGGCGGCAACCUGGACAGUAACUGACGCUGAGGCACGACAGCUGGGGUAGCGAAC